GACGAACGCUGGCGGCGUGCCUAAUACAUGCAAGUAGAACGCUGAAGAGAGGAGCUUGCUCUUCUUGGAUGAGUUGCGAACGGGUGAGUAACGCGUAGGUAACCUGCCUUGUAGCGGGGGAUAACUAUUGGAAACGAUAGCUAAUACCGCAUAACAAUGGAUGACACAUGUCAUUUAUUUGAAAGGGGCAAUUGCUCCACUACAAGAUGGACCUGCGUUGUAUUAGCUAGUAGGUGAGGUAAUGGCUCACCUAGGCGACGAUACAUAGCCGACCUGAGAGGGUGAGCGGCCACACUGGGACUGAGACACGGCCCAGACGCCUACGAGAGGCAGCAGUAGGGAAUCUGCGGCAAUGGGGGCAACCCUGACCGAGCAACGCCGCGUGAGUGAAGAAGGGUUUCGGAUCGGAAAGCUCUGUUGUAAGUCAAGAACGGGUGUGAGAGUGGAAAGUUCACACUGUGACGGUAGCUUACCAGAAAGGGACGGCUAACUACGUG
RNAcentral lists this ribosomal RNA (497 nucleotides) under uncultured bacterium. RNAcentral describes it as "partial 16S ribosomal RNA". It matches the Rfam family "Bacterial small subunit ribosomal RNA", at positions 28 to 507 of the family's 1533-position model. The record is from RNAcentral.